Molecule: long non-coding RNA, 742 nt
Organism: Homo sapiens (human)
Lineage: Eukaryota; Metazoa; Chordata; Mammalia; Primates; Hominidae
Product: long intergenic non-protein coding RNA 1608
Source: Ensembl
AGUUUCUUUUUCUGCAUCCGCUGCUCUGUUAAGUGAUCACCACAUUCAUUGUUCUCGUUUCUAUUAUUUCUGAAAAAAAUCUUCAGGAUUCUGCUUGUGGGAGUGGAUGACAUUUUUACAGUGUUUACAGACACAAAAUGAACAAGAUGUCUGUGGCAACCCUCAGACCAUUGACGCCUUCUCUCCUAUGUAUCAAAUCACACAUUUGGACGUUGACUGAACCCUCACAUGUCAGAUGCUCAAUAUUGAGCUUUAUCUAUUCCAGAAUGUCAUAUAGCUGGUAUAAGGUUGUCUUCAUUCAUUUCCACAGUUUCUCUGGAGGUUCCAACAAGAUACGGUCUCCAUUGCCCAUUGCUCUGGACCCCAGCCAUCACCCAGUGCAGCAGUGAUGCCUUAUGACAAGUCAGCACCUGGUCUGAACUCUGCUCUCUUUGCACUGAAUUCUUUGAGUUUUUAUUCCAAGUUCAGUCAUUGGUUUUAGUAUUGGUUCCCAUCUGCUUGGCAUCCUUGGUGGAAUUGGGCUUCUUUUUUCAAUUUCUUUUUGCUGUCUUUUUGUUUUACUGUGUUGAGUAGUGCUAUCUAAAUGUGUUUAUCAUAAAAGAAGCAGCACAUGAUCAUAGGCCCAUGAGCCUGUUUUUCAAGCCAGCCAAACAGCACAUUUAGUUUGACAUUCACACUGGACCUCUGUCCAUUUUUAUAAACUUCGCUUUGGGUCAUCAAUAAAACUAAAUGAAGUUCUCUC